UCGCCGGCAGAGCCCCGGCGACCUCAUAGGCGAGGCUGCCCACGUGACCCUGCCAGUCACAGAGGCAGCGGCGGCCAUGUUGGAAGAGGGCAAACAGCCGCCAGGACCCGCCCACCCCGCGGAUGCGCUGGACUUCUGGGCCGCAGAACUCGGAGUGGCGAGGAGAAGCGGGAGAGCAAAUUGAGUCCGCAUAGGGCUCCUGAGCCUGGGGACUUGGAGUAAAAACAGCUACCUCAAGCAGGAGGCUCAGUCCCCGCCAAUCGCUGGUAUAACUCUCGAUAGGACGGAGAAGGAGCUCCCCAAUGGGACCCUUCUCAGUGCGAUGGAUGGGAACCUCUUCAGUGCGAUGGAUGUGACCAGCCCAGGCCCUAGGGGAGCAGAGAGUGUUCCACUGAAGAAACCCUCUGCUGGUCCUUUGAGCGCCCGCAGAUAAGAGGGGAGGCACUUUUCCCCGUUCUCAGGGAGCUCCCGAUGGGAUGAGGAAGCCAUGGGCAUGGGAAGUGGGGUUGAGAAGGUGUAACAGCGCUCCAGACUGACCAGAGCGGCCAGGACUGCACACAGGGGAACUUUGCCUCGCUCGGCACUAUAGGGUGAAAGAAGCACAGAAGUUGUCAAGGAACGUGGCCCCUCUUCCUCUCUCAUCUCUCCAGGUGUCUUGUUUCUUUGCUUUAGUCCAGGGGUUUCACUUGCUGAAUAAACUGCCUUGAAAUGUCCUAGUCAUAAA
Macaca mulatta (Rhesus monkey) is the source of this 724-nucleotide non-coding RNA. NCBI's taxonomy places the organism in Eukaryota, Metazoa, Chordata, Mammalia, Primates, Cercopithecidae. The record is from RefSeq and is a predicted model, not a curated record.